Non-coding RNA from Kogia breviceps (pygmy sperm whale), 877 nucleotides. NCBI's taxonomy places the organism in Eukaryota, Metazoa, Chordata, Mammalia, Artiodactyla, Physeteridae. The record is from RefSeq and is a predicted model, not a curated record.
CCGCACAGCCAGUCAGAGGCUCGGCGCGCGGGCCGCGCUGACGCAUUGGCCGGAACGCUCGGGCCCCAAACGCUCCAGCCCGAGGAGGCGCCGCACCUACUUCCGAAUAUAACCAACUACGGAGCUGGGGAGCGUGGCUACGAGGAGGCUGCCUCCAAAGUGCAGUGAAAGCGCCCGGAGGGAAGGAUGCGUUACCUGGGUCCCCUCCUCAGGGAGCGGCCGGGCGAGGUGGAGGAUUCCCUCUGAAGGAUUAAAAACUCGGCAGUUGUCUUCUGCCACAGGCUGGGGAGGACCCGAGCAACUGCUCCAUUUGAACUGUGCCAACGGGCAGGAGGAUGGGAGACGGGAAUUGAGAGUCACGGACGAAGGACAGGGGAGUCUGGCGUCUGCUUGUUAAGAAUGUUCAUGUUAUUGAACCUAAUGUUGACAUACCUCCUCCCUGUAGCAGAACGAUUAAACUAACUCUCAAAGGAAAUUUAACAUAUGAGGGAAACAGCAACCUGGACCCAAGACAGGGAAAAAUAAAAAAAGAAGAAACCUUUGAUGGAGAGUAUCAUCAUGAGUGCUCUUCUCAAAUAGGCUUGCCCAGAAUAUUGAAAUUCGUCUGUUCCACUUUGUUGGUUGGACUCAGGUGGGCCAUUCUUGCUUGGGGUCUAUCAUGCAAGUGUGAUCAGAUAGCAGCUGAGGUUGGAGGCAUCUAAAGGCUCAAUUGAGCUGGACAUGAAGGUAGUUCAUUCACCUGGCUAUCACUUGAUGCUGGCUAUUUGCUCUGAGGUCAGUUGAGGUAGAUGACUUAGAGCACCUGCAAGUGGCUUAAUCAUGUGGCUUCCCAUAGCAUAGUAGCUGGAUUCCAAGGUAGUGGUAAUAAUACCUGAAG